CAGUCGCACGGUAAUACGAAGGGUGCAAGCGUUAAUCGGAAUUACUGGGCGUAAAGCGCGCGUAGGUGGUUCAUUAAGUUGGAUGUGAAAGCCCUGGGCUCAACCUGGGAACUGCAUCCAAAACUGGUGAGCUAGAGUACGGUAGAGGGUAGUGGAAUUUCCUGUGUAGCGGUGAAAUGCGUAGAUAUAGGAAGGAACACCAGUGGCGAAGGCGACUACCUGGACUGAUACUGACACUGAGGUGCGAAAGCGUGGGGAGCAAACAGGAUUAGAUACCCCCGUAGUCCCUGUCUCUUAUACC
This 301-nucleotide ribosomal RNA is filed under the name uncultured bacterium. RNAcentral describes it as "partial 16S ribosomal RNA". It matches the Rfam family "Bacterial small subunit ribosomal RNA", at positions 509 to 808 of the family's 1533-position model. The record is from RNAcentral.